RNAcentral lists this ribosomal RNA (416 nucleotides) under uncultured bacterium. RNAcentral's name for it is "bacterial SSU rRNA". It matches the Rfam family "Bacterial small subunit ribosomal RNA", at positions 770 to 1186 of the family's 1533-position model. The record is from RNAcentral.
UAACCGGAUUAGAUACCCUGGUAGUCCACGCCGUAAACGAUGAGUGCUAGUUGUCGGCAUGCAUGCAUGUCGGUGACGCAGCUAACGCAUUAAGCACUCCGCCUGGGGAGUACGGUCGCAAGAUUAAAACUCAAAGGAAUUGACGGGGGCCCGCACAAGCGGUAGAGCAUGUGGUUUAAUUCGAAGCAACGCGCAGAACCUUACCACCUUUUGACAUGCCUGGACCGCCGGAGAGAUCCGGCUUUCCCUCCGGGGACUGGGACACAGGUGCUGCAUGGCUGCCGUCAGCUCGUGUCGUGAGAUGUUGGGUUAAGUCCCGCAACGAGCGCAACCCUCGCCAUUAGUUGCCAUCAGGUUUGGCUGGGCACUCUAAUGGGACCGCCGGUGGUAAGCCGGAGGAAGGUGGGGAUGACGUA